GGUCAAUGAUGAAUAGUAAAAGGUCUGACUUCCCAGGUCACCUCCCAGCAGCCUACAUCCCCAGCUUCUUCUUCCCCAUCAGGAGCUAGUAGUGCUGUGAUAGGCAGAAACAGUAGCUAAACAUACAGUGAUGUUCCCAUUCUGUGCUCCCUGACAAGCCCAGGGAAGACACCCUGGUUGGCAUCCAACAGCUUAAUCACAAAGGGAUUUGAUUGUUGGGAAUGCUGGUGUCUGUGGCUAUGAUCAGUUAUUUUUAGCUGAGACC
Molecule: non-coding RNA, 265 nt
Organism: Nannospalax galili (Upper Galilee mountains blind mole rat)
Lineage: Eukaryota; Metazoa; Chordata; Mammalia; Rodentia; Spalacidae
Source: Ensembl